Molecule: long non-coding RNA, 1191 nt
Organism: Bubalus bubalis (water buffalo)
Lineage: Eukaryota; Metazoa; Chordata; Mammalia; Artiodactyla; Bovidae
Exons: 3
Source: RefSeq, a predicted model, not a curated record
GAUAUCUGAAAGCACUCGGAAAAUUCACCUUUCUUCGGAAAAUUACAGUCUCAUUCUUGGACUGGAAUGAUUCUGAUCAGAAGGGGAAGACCCUCACUUCACAUUUCUCUAUGAAGAAAUAGAGGAACAGAGAGGGACUCUCUUUGGCCCACUGCAUACACAGGAAGUGGCAAAAAGCUGUAUGGUGGCUCGGGAGGAAUUGAAAGUUCUUGGGCAAAUCAGUCCGACCUGACUCUCUGCAUCAGCAAGCCAGAAUAAUAAUACUGGCUAAAUUUAUUUGAAUCCCAUCUGGAUUUACUUACUGGCAAGUGUAAAGUGUUUCCAAAAUACCAAAUAGUAUAUAGGGCAUCCAAGCAGCUUCAGUUUCAGUGGCCCCAACCUUCCCCUUCUUCCGCUUCAGUGUACACUGCUUACUGGGAUGGGAUAUACUGUAGUAAACCCCCAAAUCCCUGGACUCCCACACCCGUGCCUGAUGGUGUUCUUAGGUGCUCGUGCAGUUCCUGCUGGCCAAGACCUGCCUUUGGGCCACCUAUUCUCUGUUUACUUCCAACAACUACUUUGAUGAUCCUAAAGAAAAUUUUGUUUUCAGCUUUUUGGAUACCUGAAUAAAAACAUACAGACACUCUGAAAAUUAAAAAAAAAAUAAUUGCUACUGAAACAUAUUAACUUUCCCAGUACACAAUUUUGGGAACUCUUACCCCCUACCCACAAGGCCUAUCACACCUUGCUAAUUCGCAUACUCAAGGCUCCUCUGUCCAUGGAAUUCUCCAGGCAAGAAUACUGGAGUGGGGGGGGGGGUUGCCAUUCCCUUCUCCGGGGGAUCUUCCUGACCCAGGGAUUGAACCCAGGUCUCCUGUGCUGCAGGCAGAUUCUUUACUUUCUGAGCCACUGGAGAAGCCCUGAGAAAUAGGUGUGCCUCUCCUGUUUUAAUUUUGGUCCACAUUACAAAUCAUGUAAUUAAUCUCAGAGCCCUCUUUGUACUGACUGCUAGGAGAGUCAGAUCUAUGUGUGUGGCUUACAUGAGGACUUGACACACAUUUAUUUGACAUAUAUACUUCAAUCCCAGCUUCAUCUUUUAUUUCCUACUUUGCAUUUCCUUCUUCUCAUUCAAUUACUAUUAACACUGUGUUUUAAUGUGUUUUCAAGUUGCCUUAAACACUUGCAUGCAUAACAAGAAUGAUUGAAGAAGAC